RNAcentral lists this ribosomal RNA (449 nucleotides) under uncultured bacterium. RNAcentral describes it as "partial 16S ribosomal RNA". It matches the Rfam family "Bacterial small subunit ribosomal RNA", at positions 29 to 523 of the family's 1533-position model. The record is from RNAcentral.
AACGAACGCUGGCGGCAUGCCUAACACAUGCAAGUCGAACGAAGGCUUCGGCCUUAGUGGCGCACGGGUGAGUAACGCGUGGGAAACUGCCUAUCGGUGGGGAAUAACGACGGGAAACUGUCGCUAAUACCGCAUACGCCCUUUGGGGGAAAGAUUUAUCGCCGAUAGAUGUGCCCGCGUCCGAUUAGCUAGUUGGUGAGGUAAUGGCUCACCAAGGCGACGAUCGGUAGCUGGUCUGAGAGGAUGAUCAGCCACACUGGGACUGAGACACGGCCCAGACUCCUACGGGAGGCAGCAGUGGGGAAUAUUGGACAAUGGGCGAAAGCCUGAUCCAGCAAUGCCGCGUGAGUGAUGAAGGCCUUAUGGUUGUAAAGCUCUUUCGGGUGGGACGAUGACGACGGUACCACCAGAAGAAGCCCCGGCUAACUUCGUGCCAGCCGCCGCCGUAA